CGGCGGACGGGUGAGUAACGCGUGGGUAACCUGCCUCAUACAGGGGGAUAACAGUUAGAAAUGGCUGCUAAUACCGCAUAAGACCACAGUACUGCAUGGUACAGGGGUAAAAACUCCGGUGGUAUGAGAUGGACCCGCGUCUGAUUAGGUAGUUGGUGGGGUAACGGCCUACCAAGCCGACGAUCAGUAGCCGACCUGAGAGGGUGACCGGCCACAUUGGGACUGAGACACGGCCCAA
RNAcentral lists this ribosomal RNA (238 nucleotides) under uncultured bacterium. RNAcentral's name for it is "partial 16S ribosomal RNA". It matches the Rfam family "Bacterial small subunit ribosomal RNA", at positions 96 to 334 of the family's 1533-position model. The record is from RNAcentral.